AGUGAACGCUGGCGGUAGGCCUAACACAUGCAAGUCGAACGGCAGCACAGUAAGAGCUUGCUCUUACGGGUGGCGAGUGGCGGACGGGUGAGGAAUACAUCGGAAUCUACUUUUUCGUGGGGGAUAACGUAGGGAAACUUACGCUAAUACCGCAUACGACCUACGGGUGAAAGCAGGGGAUCUUCGGACCUUGCGCGAUUGAAUGAGCCGAUGUCGGAUUAGCUAGUUGGCGGGGUAAAGGCCCACCAAGGCGACGAUCCGUAGCUGGUCUGAGAGGAUGAUCAGACACACUGGAACUGAGACACGGUCCAGACUCCUACGGGAGGCAGCAGUGGGGAAUAUUGGACAAUGGGCGCAAGCCUGAUCCAGCCAUACCGCGUGGGUGAAGAAGGCCUUCGGGUUGUAAAGCCCUUUUGUUGGGAAAGAAAAGCAGCAGGUUAAUACCCCGCUGUUCUGACAGUACCCAAAGAAUAAGCACCGGCUAACUUCGUG
This 492-nucleotide ribosomal RNA is filed under the name uncultured bacterium. RNAcentral's name for it is "partial 16S ribosomal RNA". It matches the Rfam family "Bacterial small subunit ribosomal RNA", at positions 29 to 507 of the family's 1533-position model. The record is from RNAcentral.